This 1851-nucleotide long non-coding RNA is filed under the name Homo sapiens (human). RNAcentral's name for it is "PREDICTED lncRNA (TCONS_00166411)". The record is from RNAcentral. Lineage: Eukaryota; Metazoa; Chordata; Mammalia; Primates; Hominidae.
AAACAGAUGACCCAACGUUGCCUAAGUUAGAACAUGCACCGCUGCUGCCCAGGCUCCAAUAAGGGCAGGGUUGGCGCGUGUGGGCUUCUCUAAAGGGAAACAUGGCCAGUAAUUUUAAAAUCCAUCCCCUCUUCAAUGAUAGCAAAUAUAAAAGCAACGGGCUGCAAGGUACACGUAUGUUUAAUGAAAAAUGGAGGGACGUGGUCACAUUAGAUGAAUCUGUACCUUGGGACCACCACACCGUUAAUAUAUAAGACUGGAUUACAAUUAAAGGAUGAGGAAGCUUUCUCAAAGGGUGCUUUGUAUGUGUUUACUAGUUGUGCAAACCAUGAACCUCGGUAAUGUGGUUAAUAGACCAUGAAAAGGAUGUGGUUUCUGCCCUCGGCUUAAAACAAAGACAGCAAUAAGACUAAAAGUACUUCAGGGCACAUGAGAGCAAAUUUCAAUCAAUACUUAUAGGAGAGGGAAGUUAAUUUUGCCUGAAGAGAAGAUCUGGCCUGCAUUAUGCAUUAAUUAGUAUUAGCUAAAAACUAUGUGGACCUAGCCCUUAUCAUUAAAAUAAAACACUCAAGGGUUUACAAACUAUUGAAAUUUAAGAAAAUGUCUUUGCAAUGAAUGCUACUAAGACUCACUGUUAUUAAGUACAUACAUAUCAAUUCCAUAAACUCAAUGGAAAACAUUUUACUGUGCUUGUAAAAAGAAGUGACUCAUAAACAGGAAUUCUGUCAUUUUAUCACUUUCAUGAUAGAAUGAUGUGUAGAAUUUGUUUUACAAUGCUCCAGAAAUAAAAUGUAGGGAAUGGAAAGAAGAUAGGUGAAAGAAAAGUGGUGCAACAUCAGUCAGUGUUGAAGCUAAGUUCAUUUUGCUACUUUACCUACUCAUGCAUAUGUUGGAAAAUUUACAAAAUGAAAAGCUAAAAGGAGAGAGAGCAUCUUCAGCAUGAAAGACAGCCAUUACCAAAGCAUUUCCUAUCUUUAACAAAAACUGAAGUCUUAGCCUUCAGACUAAGGAUGGUAGGAAGAAAGUAGCAAGGAAGUAUGGGACUGACCUUGCCGUAAGGAGUCACAGACCAGGCUGUCUCUCUUUUGGCCUGCUGCCAUCCGCGUAAGACAUGACUUACUCCUCCGUGCCUUCCACCAUGAUUGUGAGGCUUCCCCAGCCAUGAGGAACUAAUACCCAUCCCAUAGAUGUACUUGGGAUAGACAGCUUCUGGCACUCCUCCCAAGAUCUCUCCCUCCUGGUUACAAAAACCUGAGACUUCCAUUUUGCUGGAAACUUCUUUUCCUCUUGCACACUCACUCUGCGACUCUGUGUGGAGAGCUCCAUGUGACAAGGGAGGUCUGCAGCCUAAGCAACUGAGACCUCAGCCCAACAGCCCUCAAAGAACUGGAUCUUCAAACAACCACAUGAGUGACCUAGAAGCAAAUCUGUCACCAGUGCUCUUGAGACGGAGAAAAGAUCAUGAUCUAAGAGUCUACAAGACCAGAGCAGCCUGAAUUGCUGAGCUGCCUGGUGGAGAAUAGCAGCAUUGGGUGGUUCCCAGGAUUCUUAAAAGGACUUUACAAAGGAUUAGGUUGAGGUUCUGCAUUUUUGGCAAGAAUACCACAGAUGUGAUGCUGUACCUUUCUCAGUGCAGCCUAUGAGGUGGUUCAUGAAGAAAAUGUAUCAUAUUAUCAGUGAAUGUUAUCCUCGUUCCCUUAGUGAAGGUGGUACCUGCCAGCUUCUACACUGUAAUGGGUAUUCUUAUUAAAUCUGAUUAUCACUCUUCUAAUUGCUACUGAAACCAGGAAAAAAAAGCUCAGAAAAGAUGUCAUAUAUCUUCAAAUUGUUUAAAUAAAAUUAAUCACAGAU